This 433-nucleotide ribosomal RNA is filed under the name uncultured bacterium. Its description in RNAcentral is "partial 16S ribosomal RNA". It matches the Rfam family "Bacterial small subunit ribosomal RNA", at positions 29 to 507 of the family's 1533-position model. The record is from RNAcentral.
AACGAACGCUGGCGGCAUGCCUAACACAUGCAAGUCGAACGAGACCUUCGGGUCUAGUGGCGCACGGGUGCGUAACGCGUGGGAACCUGCCCUUAGGUUCGGAAUAACUCCCCGAAAGGGGUGCUAAUACCGGAUGAUGUCUUCGGACCAAAGAUUUAUCGCCUUUGGAUGGGCCCGCGUUGGAUUAGCUAGUUGGUAGGGUAAAAGCCUACCAAGGCGACGAUCCAUAGCUGGUCUGAGAGGAUGAUCAGCCACACUGGGACUGAGACACGGCCCAGACUCCUACGGGAGGUAGCAGUGGGGAAUAUUGGACAAUGGGCGAAAGCCUGAUCCAGCAAUGCCGCGUGAGUGAUGAAGGCCUUAGGGUUGUAAAGCUCUUUUACCCGGGAUGAUAAUGACAGUACCGGGAGAAUAAGCUCCGGCUAACUCCGUG